GCGGGGGGUAGGUUACACUCAAUCCCGCAGAAAGUUUUCAGAAACUGAAGUGCAGAAUCACAACAGACAUGGCAGCGGAGGCCGCGCAGGCAACAGGUGAACCUCGGAGAAACCUGGCACCCUCCCGCGGGCAAGUUUUUUUUUGGGGGGGGGGCUUGCAGCACCCCUGGCUCUACCACCCCACAGAACAUUUUUCCCCCCUCCUUCGCCGAAGCGGAGAGAGACAAAUCGCGACUAUCAGCCUCGCAGCUCCAGGGCGAGAGAGGGCCUCCUGAACCUACCAUCACCGAAAAGUCACAAGUAUGGAAGGAGACUCUGUAGGGGUCUCCGUGGCGAUGAUCACAGCAGAACAGAAUUGUCCUCACUACUGGCCUUCUGUCUUGGACCGCAGGCAUACCCUGGAUGCCUUGCACCCAUUCUGCAAAUGCAAGGAGCCUCUGUCAUUCAAAGCGCUUCAUCAGAAAUAAAAGAUAAAACCUU
Molecule: long non-coding RNA, 480 nt
Organism: Neogale vison (American mink)
Lineage: Eukaryota; Metazoa; Chordata; Mammalia; Carnivora; Mustelidae
Exons: 2
Source: RefSeq, a predicted model, not a curated record